UGCGUAGGCGGUGCGGAAAGUUGGGUGUGAAAGCCCUCGGCUCAACCGAGGAAUUGCGCCCAAAACUGCCGCACUAGAGGAAGACAGAGGUACGCGGAACUUAGGGUGGAGCGGUGAAAUGCGUUGAUAUCCUAAGGAACACCGGUGGCGAAAGCGGCGUACUGGGUCUUAUCUGACGCUGAGGCACGAAAGCUAGGGGAGCGAACG
Molecule: ribosomal RNA, 207 nt
Filed under: uncultured bacterium
Lineage: Bacteria
Description: partial 16S ribosomal RNA
Rfam family: Bacterial small subunit ribosomal RNA
Source: RNAcentral